GAAACUAGACUUGUUGAGAAAGCUAUAUAAUUAAUACAUAGGGAAUCACAAAACAGUGGAUGGAGGAGAGAGAAGGUUCUUGGAAGAAGCAAUCCUUGCAUGCAGGAGAGAGAAGCUUUCCAUGCAAUUUAGUUUCUGAUUUUCGUCACUUUUCUUGGACAACAAAGAAACCACUUGAUUUUUAUUUUUCUUGGGUUUAUAAUUC
RNAcentral lists this long non-coding RNA (205 nucleotides) under Brassica napus (rape). RNAcentral describes it as "long non-coding RNA (BNAP_LNC004401)". The record is from RNAcentral. Lineage: Eukaryota; Viridiplantae; Streptophyta; Magnoliopsida; Brassicales; Brassicaceae.